AGAGUAGGCGAGGCAGUUGCAGAUUAGUUUGAAAAAACUAAUUUGAGGAAAGUCCGGGCUUCCCAAAGACCAAACUUGCUGGGUAACGCCCAGUGCGUGCGAGCGUGAGGAUAGUGCCACAGAAAAAUACCGCCAAUCAAUUUUAGAUUUAAAAUUUUGGAUUUUGGAUUGAAUUUAAAAUUUAAAAUCGCAAAUCCAAAAUUGUUUGGUAAGGGUGCAAAGGUGAGGUAAGAGCUCACCAGCAGCGUCGAGAGGCGCUGGCUCGGUAAACCCCGGUUGGAAGCAAGGUGAGAGGAACUAAGGUUGGUCUUUUACCAGUUCCGUUUUUGAGAGCCGCUUGAGGCGUUUGGUAACAAACGUCCCAGAUAGAUAACUGCCCUUGAACAGAACCCGGCUUAUGUCCGACUCUCUCC
This 413-nucleotide RNase P RNA is filed under the name Richelia sp. RM1_1_1. RNAcentral describes it as "RNase P RNA component class A". It matches the Rfam family "Bacterial RNase P class A". From Rfam's summary of the family: Ribonuclease P (RNase P) is a ubiquitous endoribonuclease, found in archaea, bacteria and eukarya as well as chloroplasts and mitochondria. Its best characterised activity is the generation of mature 5'-ends of tRNAs by cleaving the 5'-leader elements of precursor-tRNAs. Lineage: Bacteria; Bacillati; Cyanobacteriota; Cyanophyceae; Nostocales; Nostocaceae. The record is from RNAcentral. RNAcentral also lists the same sequence under 4 other names.